AGUGAACGCUGGCGGUAGGCCUAACACAUGCAAGUCGAACGGCAGCACAGUAAGAGCUUGCUCUUACGGGUGGCGAGUGGCGGACGGGUGAGGAAUACAUCGGAAUCUACUUUUUCGUGGGGGAAAACGUAGGGAAACUAACGCUAAUACCGCAUACGACCUACGGGUGAAAGAAGGGGAUCUUCGGACCUUGCGCGAUUGAAGGAGCCGAUGUCGGAUUAGCUAGUUGGCGGGGUAAAGGCCCACCAAGGCGACGAUCCGUAGCUGGUCUGAGAGGAUGAUCAGCCACACUGGAACUGAGACACGGUCCAGACUCCUACGGGAGGCAGCAGUGGGGAAUAUUGGACAAUGGGCGCAAGCCUGAUCCAGCCAUACCGCGUGGGUGAAGAAGGCCUUCGGGUUGUAAAGCCCUUUUGUUGGGAAAGAAAAGCAGCAGGUUAAUACCCCGCUGUUCUGACGGUACCCAAAGAAUAAGCACCGGCUAACUUCGUG
RNAcentral lists this ribosomal RNA (492 nucleotides) under uncultured bacterium. Its description in RNAcentral is "partial 16S ribosomal RNA". It matches the Rfam family "Bacterial small subunit ribosomal RNA", at positions 29 to 507 of the family's 1533-position model. The record is from RNAcentral.